AUGAGAGCAAUGGAAGAGAAUGUGGAAAAGACGGCAGAGGUAGCAAUCGAGACUAUCGAGAAAGCGGCGGAUGUGGUUGACAAACUCGCAGACGAAGUCAUAGCAUUUCCCGGUAAUGAAAACCUUAAGAAGGCAGCCUUCAGGAUCAAAGUCAUCGCAGAAGAGAUAGAGAAGGAUGCAGAAGAAGCCGAGGCCCUAAUCCACAAGGUUAGGUUAACUGCCUAUGAAUGUAUUAGUUCCCUACUUCCUCUGGUCCUUUUUACUCCCCAUAUUAGAUUUGUGUCAAGUCAAACUUUGCAAAGUUUGACCAAACUUAUAUUAGAAAAUAUCAACAUCUACAAUACCAAAUGUAUAUACUAUGAAACUUCGUUGCAUAGUGAAUCUAACAAUAUUGAUUUGGCAUUGUGA
This 408-nucleotide ribosomal RNA is filed under the name Triticum aestivum (bread wheat). RNAcentral's name for it is "partial small subunit ribosomal RNA". Lineage: Eukaryota; Viridiplantae; Streptophyta; Magnoliopsida; Poales; Poaceae. The record is from RNAcentral.